GGCGCAAGCCUGAUCCAGCAAUACCGCGUGUGUGAAGAAGGCCCUAGGGUUGUAAAGCACUUUCAAUAGGGAGGAAAACCUGCCGGUCAAUACCCGGUAGCUUGACAUUACCUAUAGAAGAAGCACCGGCUAACUCCGUGCCAGCAGCCGCGGUAAUACGGAGGGUGCAAGCGUUAAUCGGAAUUACUGGGCGUAAAGCGUGCGUAGGCGGUUCGUUAAGUCAGAUGUGAAAGCCCCGGGCUUAACCUGGGAACUGCAUUUGAAACUGGCGGACUUGAGUUGAGUAGAGGGGAGUGGAAUUUCAGGUGUAGCGGUGAAAUGCGUAGAUAUCUGAAGGAACACCAGUGGCGAAGGCGACUCCCUGGACUCAAACUGACGCUGAGGUACGAAAGCGUGGGUAGCAAACAGGAUUAGAUACCCUGGUAGUCCACGCUGUAAACGAUGUCAACUAGCCGUUGGUUCUCUUUACAGAAUUAGUGGCGCAGCUAACGCAUUAAGUUGACCGCCUGGGGAG
RNAcentral lists this ribosomal RNA (514 nucleotides) under uncultured bacterium. RNAcentral describes it as "bacterial SSU rRNA". It matches the Rfam family "Bacterial small subunit ribosomal RNA", at positions 374 to 880 of the family's 1533-position model. The record is from RNAcentral.